This 204-nucleotide long non-coding RNA is filed under the name Mytilus galloprovincialis (Mediterranean mussel). Lineage: Eukaryota; Metazoa; Mollusca; Bivalvia; Mytilida; Mytilidae. The record is from RNAcentral.
CACUGAACUAUGAAAAAGAGGUUCAAGACAAUCAUAUUAAAACAGAUAAAUUGUAAUAUUGGGGCUAAAGAUACCAGAUGAACAGCAAACUCAUAAAUCGAAAAUAAUCUUACAUUCCAUGACUAAAACUGAAAAAGACAUGCAGACCAAUAAAAGUACACUAGAAACAACAUAGAAAACUAAAGACUGAGCAACACGAACCCC